GGCUGGUUAGCUCAGUUGAUUAGAGCGUGGUGCUGAUAACACCAAGGUCACGGGUUCAAUCCCUGUUCGGUCC
This 73-nucleotide transfer RNA is filed under the name Apaloderma vittatum (bar-tailed trogon). It matches the Rfam family "tRNA". Rfam says of the family: Transfer RNA (tRNA) molecules are approximately 80 nucleotides in length. Their secondary structure includes four short double-helical elements and three loops (D, anti-codon, and T loops). Lineage: Eukaryota; Metazoa; Chordata; Aves; Trogoniformes; Trogonidae. The record is from Rfam by way of RNAcentral.